UAUAAAUAAAUAUAGAAUUGAGUUACUACACUUUCAGAAGUAAAAAGUGAUAGAUCUUUCUGAAUAUGUAAAAUAAGAAGGAAAUUAAAUACAUAUCAAAAUCUCUAGGAACAAAAUAAAAUAAGAUAACUCAUAGAGCGUCAUUGAGAAGAAAUUUCUGAUCAAUCUGCGGAAGUGAGAAAUCCGGUACCGAUGUGAACCUCACCAAUUGAACUUGCGUAAUUUAAUUGGUUUCUCCUUCUUUCUCAGGCACUUUGCCGUAUGAUGUGGAACCGAUGUUAAUUCUUCACCAGAAUGUGUAUGAGAAGGUGCCAGGAUCAAUACUCUUUUUUAUAGAGUCCAGAUCGAUUUUCCAUUAAAGUCUGAUUACGUUUCUAUUUAAUUUAAAUAGAUGGGAUAGCGAUAAAAUAUACCAUAUCAAAUAGUUCUAUAUCUAUUAGGAUUAAUCUUUAUCUAUAGUAAAUCCAAAUUUAACAAAACGAAGUUAGUGUUCUCACUUUUGACUCUUAGAUCAACCUCUUUAACCAUUUUGACUCUUAGAUCAACCUCUUUAACCAUUUUUUACCUUUGAAUUAAUAUUAUUACGCUAGGGGGCCACUUAAUCUUAAGGAGGACCGCUAUUAUUUUAACCCUACCAUCCUUGACCCAAGGGCUAAAAUGCCGGAAGCACCAGCUCCCUUAUAUUUUCGAUAGUAUAAUAGUUCUACAAUAUAUAUAUAAAAUUGAAAAAAUGAACUGUACUUAAUUCCUUACCAU
Molecule: long non-coding RNA, 756 nt
Filed under: Ananas comosus (pineapple)
Lineage: Eukaryota; Viridiplantae; Streptophyta; Magnoliopsida; Poales; Bromeliaceae
Description: long non-coding RNA (ACOM_LNC021981)
Source: RNAcentral